CAUCUAUACGGUGAAACUGCGAAUGGCUCAUUAAAUCAGUUAUCGUUUAUUUGAUAGUACCUUACUACUUGGAUAACCGUGGUAAUUCUAGAGCUAAUACAUGCUAAAAACCCCAACUUCGGGAGGGGUGUAUUUAUUAGAUAAAAAACCAAUGCCCUUCGGGGCUCCUUGGUGAUUCAUGAUAACUUAACGAAUCGCAUGGCCUUGCGCCGGCGAUGGUUCAUUCAAAUUUCUGCCCUAUCAACUUUCGAUGGUAGGAUAGUGGCCUACCAUGGUUUCAACGGGUAACGGGGAAUUAGGGUUCUAUUCCGGAGAGGGAGCCUGAGAAACGGCUACCACAUCCAAGGAAGGCAGCAGGCGCGCAAAUUACCCAAUCCCGACACGGGGAGGUAGUGACAAUAAAUACUGAUACAGGGCUCUUUUGGGUCUUGUAAUUGGAAUGAGUACAAUUUAAAUCCCUUAACGAGGAACAAUUGGAGGGCAAGUCUGGUGCCAGCAGCCGCGGUAAUUCCAGCUCCAAUAGCGUAUAUUAAAGUUGUUGCAGUUAAAAAGCUCGUAGUUGAACCUUGGGCUUGGCUGUCCGGUCCGCCUCACCGCGUGCACUGGUGCGGCCGAGCCUUUCCUUCUGGGAAGCCGCAUGCCCUUCACUGGGUGUGUCGGGGAACCAGGACUUUUACUUUGAAAAAAUUAGAGUGUUCAAAGCAGGCCUAUGCUCGAAUACAUUAGCAUGGAAUAAUAGAAUAGGACGUGUGGUUCUAUUUUGUUGGUUUCUAGGACCGCCGUAAUGAUUAAUAGGGAUAGUCGGGGGCAUCAGUAUUCAAUUGUCAGAGGUGAAAUUCUUGGAUUUAUUGAAGACUAACUACUGCGAAAGCAUUUGCCAAGGAUGUUUUCAUUAAUCAGUGAACGAAAGUUAGGGGAUCGAAGACGAUCAGAUACCGUCGUAGUCUUAACCAUAAACUAUGCCGACUAGGGAUCGGGCGAUGUUAUCAUUUUGACUCGCUCGGCACCUACGAGAAAUCAAAGUCUU
This 1027-nucleotide ribosomal RNA is filed under the name Sarea difformis. RNAcentral's name for it is "SSU rRNA". It matches the Rfam family "Eukaryotic small subunit ribosomal RNA", at positions 71 to 1107 of the family's 1831-position model. Lineage: Eukaryota; Fungi; Ascomycota; Sareomycetes; Sareales; Zythiaceae. The record is from RNAcentral.